RNAcentral lists this ribosomal RNA (724 nucleotides) under Galiblatta cribrosa. Its description in RNAcentral is "12S ribosomal RNA". The record is from RNAcentral. Lineage: Eukaryota; Metazoa; Arthropoda; Insecta; Blattodea; Blaberidae.
AAUAAUAAAUUUAAGUUUGAUUUAGUUAUUAUCAUUAAAUAUUGAUUUAAUAUGUGCCAGCAAUCGCGGUUAGACAUAAAAUACAAAUAAAUAAUUUCAGAGUUUAGUUAUUAUAUUAUACAAUAAUUAUAUUUUAUUAAUUUUUAGGUGAAAUUUAAAUUUUUAUUUAUAAUUUAUAAUUUUAUAAGAAACUAUAAAACCUUAUAAUUUAAACUAGGAUUAGAUACCCUAUUAUUCAAGACUUAAAUUAAUUAAACUUAAGUAGUAUUAGUUAUGAUCUUAAAACUUAAAGAAUUUGGCGGUAUUUUAGUCUAUUUAGAGGAAUCUGCUCCAUAAUCGAUAAUACACGUUUAACUUAACUUAGAUUAAUUGAACAUGUAUACCGCCGUUUAUUGAAAAUCUUUUUAGGGUUAAUUUUCUCAAGAUAUAAAAAUAUAACAUUUCAGGUCAAGGUGCAGUCUAUAUCUAAGGGGAGGUGGAUUACAAUAUUUUUAAAUAAAUGAAUUUUAUUUUGAAAAAUUAAAUGAAAGUGGAUUUAAUAGUAAUUAUUUAAAUUUUAUCAUUAUGAUUUUAGCUCUAAAAUGUGUACAUAUCGCCCGUCACUCUCGUUAGUUAAAAUGAGAUAAGUCGUAACAAAGUAGGUGUACCGGAAGGUGCAGCUAGAUUGAUCAGAUUAAGUUUAAAGGGAAGUAUUUCAUUUACAUUGAAAUAAAUAUUGUGCAAU